RNAcentral lists this ribosomal RNA (253 nucleotides) under uncultured bacterium. Its description in RNAcentral is "partial 16S ribosomal RNA". It matches the Rfam family "Bacterial small subunit ribosomal RNA", at positions 524 to 776 of the family's 1533-position model. The record is from RNAcentral.
UACGAAGGGGGCUAGCGUUGUUCGGAAUUACUGGGCGUAAAGCGCACGUAGGCGGCUUGGUAUGUCGGGUGUGAAAUCCCCGGGCUCAACCUGGGAACUGCAUCCGAAACUGCCUUGCUAGAGUAUGGGAGAGGGAAGUGGAAUUUCCGGUGUAGCGGUGAAAUGCGUAGAUAUCGGAAGGAACAUCAGUGGCGAAGGCGGCCUGCUGGGCAGUAGCUGACGCUGAGGCGCGACAGCGUGGGGAGCAAACAGG